RNAcentral lists this ribosomal RNA (482 nucleotides) under uncultured bacterium. RNAcentral's name for it is "partial 16S ribosomal RNA". It matches the Rfam family "Bacterial small subunit ribosomal RNA", at positions 30 to 507 of the family's 1533-position model. The record is from RNAcentral.
AUUGAACGCUGGCGGCAUGCCUUACACAUGCAAGUCGAACGGUAACAGGUCUUCGGAUGCUGACGAGUGGCGAACGGGUGAGUAAUACAUCGGAACGUGCCCAGACGUGGGGGAUAACGAGGCGAAAGCUUUGCUAAUACCGCAUACGAUCUAAGGAUGAAAGCAGGGGACCGCAAGGCCUUGCGCGUUUGGAGCGGCCGAUGGCAGAUUAGGUAGUUGGUGGGAUAAAAGCUUACCAAGCCGACGAUCUGUAGCUGGUCUGGGAGGACGACCAGCCACACUGGGACUGAGACACGGCCCAGACUCCUACGGGAGGCAGCAGUGGGGAAUUUUGGACAAUGGGCGAAAGCCUGAUCCAGCAAUGCCGCGUGCAGGAUGAAGGCCUUCGGGUUGUAAACUGCUUUUGUACGGAACGAAAAGGCUCUGGCUAAUACCUGGGGCACAUGACGGUACCGGAAGAAUAAGCACCGGCUAACUACGUG